Molecule: ribosomal RNA, 253 nt
Filed under: uncultured bacterium
Lineage: Bacteria
Description: partial 16S ribosomal RNA
Rfam family: Bacterial small subunit ribosomal RNA
Source: RNAcentral
UACGUAGGGUGCGAGCGUUGUCCGGAAUUAUUGGGCGUAAAGAGCUUGUAGGCGGUUUGUCGCGUCUGCUGUGAAAAUCCGGGGCUCAACCCCGGACUUGCAGUGGGUACGGGCAGACUAGAGUAUGGUAGGGGAGACUGGAAUUCCUGGUGUAGCGGUGGAAUGCGCAGAUAUCAGGAGGAACACCGAUGGCGAAGGCAGGUCUCUGGGCCAUUACUGACGCUGAGAAGCGAAAGCAUGGGGAGCGAACAGG